RNAcentral lists this ribosomal RNA (397 nucleotides) under uncultured bacterium. RNAcentral describes it as "partial 16S ribosomal RNA". It matches the Rfam family "Bacterial small subunit ribosomal RNA", at positions 523 to 918 of the family's 1533-position model. The record is from RNAcentral.
AUACGUAGGAGGCGAGCGUUGUCCGGAAUUACUGGGUGUAAAGGGCGUGUAGGCGGGGAGACAAGUCAGAUGUGAAAUACCGAGGCUUAACUUCGGGGCUGCAUCUGAAACUGUUUUUCUUGAGUGUCGGAGAGGAAAGUGGAAUUCCUAGUGGAGCGGUGAAAUGCGUAGAUAUUAGGAGGAACACCAGUGGCGAAGGCGGCUUUCUGGACGACAACUGACGCUGAGGCGCGAAAGCGUGGGGAGCAAACAGGAUUAGAUACCCUGGUAGUCCACGCCGUAAACGAUGGAUACUAGGUGUAGGAGGUAUCGACCCCUUCUGUGCCGGAGUUAACACAAUAAGUAUCCCACCUGGGGAGUACGGCCGCAAGGUUGAAACUCAAAUGAAUUGACGGGG